RNAcentral lists this long non-coding RNA (1457 nucleotides) under Chinchilla lanigera (long-tailed chinchilla). Its description in RNAcentral is "lncRNA (ENSCLAG00000023962.1)". The record is from RNAcentral. Lineage: Eukaryota; Metazoa; Chordata; Mammalia; Rodentia; Chinchillidae.
GGCGGGGGUGGGGGUUUCCUCAGGCACUGUUGUCACCAGCUCUUCGGCUCUGGCAGUGGUGGCCCCAGCUCUUGUCCUCUACCUCGUCCACGACGCAGGCCCAGGGGAGGUGGUGGCGGGAAUGGCAUGGCCCUUCUGGGGGGCUCGUCCAGGUUUUGCAGGAAGGCGUGGUCAGACAAGGCUGGGGGCGGGUGCUGGCAGGAGGUGCUCUCUGCGGCAGUGCAUGCCCUGGAGUGGGACUUGGGCUGGCAGAGUUCCCUAGGCCAUCUUUGGCUGCGGGAGGUUUGUGGCUGAAGUCUGGCUUUCCCCCAACGCCUUCAGCUGUCCUGUGCACCCACCCUGGGCAACAGCUAGAGAGUGCUGGAGACGGCCUCAACAGGGCCUUGUGGGAGGGCUUCCCUGGGGACCCUGGCCUUCCCAGCUCUGCAGUUACAGCUGCGGGAGUGUGGGGCUGGGCAGGCAGCAGGAGCUGCCUGGGCGCUGCCUUUAGGGCUGGCACUGACCGCUGGUGAGGAGACAGCAGCUCCCUUCUCAAGGUGGCUUCCGGCUACAGCACCCUGGGGGUUUGUGAGGCGAUGACUUAGGCAACUUCUCAGAUGUCAGGUUGCUUAUUUAAGUGGGCUCCUGGCCUGUGAGGGCUCUGACAUUUCCGGUAGCAAGGCGGUCAGCACCCGUGCUGGGGGAGUUUGCCUGGACUCUUUCCUCUUUACCCUGGCAGAGGGGAGUCGCCCGCCCCGUGUGAAGUUACAGAGGGCAGAUGGAAGGAUAUUUUGUGUCUGUGCUGUUGGCUGCAUCUUUGAAUCUUUCAAGUUGCUAAUCUCUUGCUGAUUUCCAGAGUUCUCUCAGGAUCAUUCACCUCAAAAUGCAGCUAUGCAUUUGUUCCUUUUCCUUUCCUACUUCUUCCUGCCCUCCCCUCCCCUUGCAUCCUGUCCCCUCCCUCCCCUCCCCUCCCCUCCCCUCCUCUCCCUUCUCUUUUUAAUUUUUUUUUCCUUUCUUUUCCUUCCCUUCCUUUUCUUCCUUUUUUGUAGCACUGGGGAUUUAACCCAGAACCUUUACACUGAGCUACAUCCCAGCUCUUUUUUACUUUUUAUUUUGAGACAGGGUCUUGGUAAGACACUAAAUUCCCCAAACUGGCUCAAACUUGUCGUCUUCCUGUUUCAGCCUCCCCGAGCUCUGGGAUUACAGGCUUGCAUCAACACCCCUGGCUACUUUCAUAUUCUCUGUGGAGGAGGAGGAAUCGAACCCAUGACCUCACACUUGUGAGGCAGGCGCUGUGCCACUGAGCUAUAUCCCUGGCCCCCGCACUUGGUUUUCAAGAACUGUAUGUAAUAAAAAUACCUAAGCCUGAGUAACCAGUGUUUGUCCAUUGUUCUUGCAAUGAAAAAUGAUCCAGAAAAAGGAGCUGCUAUUUCUCAUGACUCAAUCUAUCACAGUACUUGCUUUCCUCUCACACUUGU